RNAcentral lists this ribosomal RNA (253 nucleotides) under uncultured Oscillospira sp. RNAcentral's name for it is "partial 16S ribosomal RNA". It matches the Rfam family "Bacterial small subunit ribosomal RNA", at positions 524 to 776 of the family's 1533-position model. The record is from RNAcentral. Lineage: Bacteria; Bacillati; Bacillota; Clostridia; Eubacteriales; Oscillospiraceae.
UACGUAGGUGGCAAGCGUUAUCCGGAUUUACUGGGUGUAAAGGGCGUGUAGGCGGGAUGGUAAGUCAGAUGUGAAAACUAUGGGCUCAACCCAUAGCCUGCAUUUGAAACUAUCGUUCUUGAGUGUUGGAGAGGCAGGCGGAAUUCCGUGUGUAGCGGUGAAAUGCGUAGAUAUACGGAGGAACACCAGUGGCGAAGGCGGCCGCCUGGCCUGUUGCUGACGCUGAGGCACGAAAGCGUGGGGAGCAAAUAGG